UUGGUUAAGUUAGAAAGGGCGCACGGUGGAUGCCUUGGCACUAGGAGCCGAAGAAGGACGGGACUAACACCGAUAUGCUUUGGGGAGCUGUACGUAAGCGUUGAUCCAGAGAUUUCCGAAUGGGGGAACCCACUAUCUUUAGUCGGAUAGUAUCCUUACGUGAAUACAUAGCGUGAGGAAGGCAGACCCAGGGAACUGAAACAUCUAAGUACCUGGAGGAAGAGAAAGAAAAAUCGAUUUCCUGAGUAGCGGCGAGCGAAACGGAAAGAGCCCAAACCAAGAAGCUUGCUUCUUGGGGUUGUAGGACACUCUAUACGGAGUUACAAAAGAAAGUUAUAAAUGAAGCGGUCUGGAAAGGCCCGCCAAAGACGGUAACAGCCCGGUAGUUGAAAUAGCUUUCCCUCCAGAGUGGAUCCUGAGUACGGCGGAACACGUGAAAUUCCGUCGGAAUCCGGGAGGACCAUCUCCCAAGGCUAAAUACUCCCUAGUGACCGAUAGUGAACCAGUACCGUGAGGGAAAGGUGAAAAGCACCCCGGAAGGGGAGUGAAACAGUUCCUGAAACCGUGUGCCUACAAGUAGUUAGAGCCCGUUAAUGGGUGAUAGCGUGCCUUUUGUAGAAUGAACCGGCGAGUUACGAUUUGUUGCAAGGUUAAGCGGAAAAAGCGGAGCCGUAGCGAAAGCGAGUCUGAAUAGGGCGCAUAAGUAACAGGUCGUAGACCCGAAACCAGGUGAUCUACCCAUGUCCAGGAUGAAGGUAAGGUAAUACUUACUGGAGGUCCGAACCCACGCACGUUGAAAAGUGCGGGGAUGAGGUGUGGGUAGCGGAGAAAUUCCAAUCGAACUUGGAGAUAGCUGGUUCUCUCCGAAAUAGCUUUAGGGCUAGCCUCGAGGUAAAGAGUCAUGGAGGUAGAGCACUGUUUGGACUAGGGGCCCUUCUCGGGUUACCGAAUUCAGAUAAACUCCGAAUGCCAUGUACUUAUACUCGGGAGUCAGACUGCGAGUGAUAAGAUCCGUAGUCGAAAGGGAAACAGCCCAGACCACCAGUUAAGGUCCCCAAAUAUAUGUUAAGUGGAAAAGGAUGUGGGGUUGCUUAGACAACCAGGAUGUUGGCUUAGAAGCAGCCACCAUUGAAAGAGUGCGUAAUAGCUCACUGGUCGAGUGACCCCGCGCCGAAAAUGUACCGGGGCUAAACAUAUUACCGAAACUGUGGAUGAACCUCUUUAGAGGUUCGUGGUAGGAGAGCGUUCUAAGGGCGGUGAAGUCAGACCGGAAGGACUGGUGGAGCGCUUAGAAGUGAGAAUGCCGGUAUGAGUAGCGAAAGAAGGGUGAGAAUCCCUUCCACCGAAUAUCUAAGGUUUCCUGAGGAAGGCUCGUCCGCUCAGGGUUAGUCGGGACCUAAGCCGAGGCCGAUAGGCGUAGGCGAUGGACAACAGGUAGAGAUUCCUGUACCAGUGCUAAUUGUUUAACCGAUGGGGUGACACAGAAGGAUAGGGAAUCGCACGAAUGGAAAUGUGCGUCCAAGCAGUGAGUGUGAGAAGUAGGCAAAUCCGCUUCUCGCGAAGCAUGAGCUGUGAUGGGGAAGGAAAUUAAGUACGGAAGUUCCUGAUUUCACGCUGUCAAGAAAAGCCUCUAGGAAGAGUAGUACUGCCCGUACCGCAAACCGACACAGGUAGAUGAGGAGAGAAUCCUAAGGUGAGCGAGAGAACUCUCGUUAAGGAACUCGGCAAAAUGACCCCGUAACUUCGGGAGAAGGGGUGCUCUAUUAGGGUGCAAGCCCGAGAGAGCCGCAGUGAAUAGGCCCAGGCGACUGUUUAGCAAAAACACAGGUCUCUGCAAAACCGUAAGGUGACGUAUAGGGGCUGACGCCUGCCCGGUGCUGGAAGGUUAAGAGGA
Molecule: ribosomal RNA, 1894 nt
Filed under: Listeria monocytogenes
Lineage: Bacteria; Bacillati; Bacillota; Bacilli; Caryophanales; Listeriaceae
Description: bacterial LSU rRNA
Rfam family: Bacterial large subunit ribosomal RNA
Source: RNAcentral